GAGAUACAAAAGGGGGUUCUGCAUUUUGUAGGAUGUGUUAUCGUAUCAAUUCUUCUAAGAUUCUAAGUUCUGAUACUCUAUAUGUGAUCAUGUGAUGGCUGUUUUUGGUUGCAAAACAAUUAGUCUGCAAUAAAUGGGUUAACUUAGUCCUAACUUAUUGUGGAGUAUGCUACCCCAUAUAUGUUGGAAUAGUUUACUCAGGUUUACCUCCAAAACAAUUUGUCCAAGGAUCGUCGAACCGGCACCGGUAGGCAUACCGGUCGGCCACCGGAUCCGUUCAGUACCAAUUCGGAUCGGUACCAAAUCGGUACCAUUGGUUCGGCUUCCAAAAGCCCAAAAAAAUUUGGCCUAACUGGUUCGGGCCGGUACGGGUCGGUACUAUUUUUUAAUGCCGAAUCGGUUCGGUACGGGCUAAACGGGCCAAUUCAGCAUUUCUUGAUCUGUGUCUACUUUGGUAAUGCCUAUGUUAUCCUUGGGAUAAACUGACUUUGAAAAGAUUGUUUGUCAGGUUAAAGUGGAAUAGACUAGUUAAAGUGGUCUUAUUUUGCUUUAACCCCUGUAUGGCAACACAGCCUGACAUCUAUAUAAUGGUAAAUUAGAAAAUUCCAGGAAUAUGAAUACUGAAACUUCUUAGCCUCUAAAUGUAGGAUGAUAGCCCUUAUCCUUGUAUGUUUAGUGAUCUUUGUUUGUGCUUAUGCUAUUAAGGUACAAUGCAAAUGACUAC
This 724-nucleotide long non-coding RNA is filed under the name Phoenix dactylifera (date palm). Its description in RNAcentral is "long non-coding RNA (PDAC_LNC018722)". Lineage: Eukaryota; Viridiplantae; Streptophyta; Magnoliopsida; Arecales; Arecaceae. The record is from RNAcentral.